CGCGGUGGUCGGUUACUGGUUUCCACACAAGCCAAGCCCUUGAUCUGCCGUGUUUGAGGAAACCCUUUGUUCCUUUCAAGUCUCUAUUCUCUGAGCCAGGCUGGUGCACAGACCCAGGCAAGCUUGGAUGAGCCCAGAGAAUCCUUCUCAGCACAGCCUCUGGGUGUUUACUACCGACUGGACUUGCCGUACAAAACGAGACCUACCUCCCAUCCUCAGACAAGCCAACGCGAAGAAAUGGAGCUGAAAAUAGAAACUGUCAAAACAACAAGCCAUUCCAGCUCUAAGCGCCAUAGUAAACAAAUGGUCCAGUGUUGCUCUGAUGGUUUAAUUGCAGCAGUUCCAGACAAGCCCAUUCACGAAGGAUCUUCAGUUGACGGGAAGGAGGAGUGAGCCCCCCUCCGGGGAAGGGGCGGCUUGUGGCUAGCCCUUGGGGGAAGUCUUUACCAGGUGAGGCUGAUGCUCUGGGGAGCCGGCUGGAUUUCAGCAGCCAAAGCCCUAGCUGGCUGGAUCAGACUCUCUUUGCCUUCGGACAUCAAGAUGGUGGAUAUUUGAACUGGAAGGAUAAAGAAAGGCCUCUCUGAGGAGGUGGCAUUGGAGCUGGACCUGAAGAUGAAGAAGAUGACAGCUUCACAGACAGCCAGGGGAAGCGAGUCCCAGGCAGGGGGAACAGAAGAUUCAAAGGUCCUGAGUCAAUAGAAUCCAUAAUUUUCAGUUCGGCAUAUGGCAGCCUGGAAUGAGGAUUACGGUUCCCAGCUUCCCUUCCACAUCCUCAGUAUGGCCAUGGGGAAUUUGAGAUGUGAUGACUGGAUCUCAAGCAGCCAUCUUGGACCGUGUGGUGAAUUAAAGAUAGCUGCUGAUUCUUUGGCUGUCCUUCCUUCGAGAGGAAGAGGCUAUUUGGGAAUCUGAAUUUGGGCUGGCCUGUGACUUCUCGGGUCAACAGAGUAUAGCGGAAAUGAUACUCUGCCAAUUCAAGGCCCAGCCCUUAAGAGCACUGGUAGCUUCUGCCGUGGCCUCUUGGAUUCAUGAGCUGCCAUGGAAAAAUGUCAAACCACUCUGCUGGAGAGACCACCUGGAGAGGCCCUGAGACCACAUGGAAAGGGGGAGGAACCCAGCUAGCUCAGCAUUUCAGGUUUCCCCACCAAAGCCCCAGGAAUCCUGGUAAAACCAUCUUGACCCUCCAGACGAGCCCAACCAUCAACUGAAUACGACCAAGUGACUGGCUGAUGCCCAUGGAUCAGAAGGAUCACCCAGCUGAGCCCUGCCCAAAUUUCUGACCCACAAAACUGUAGAAAAUAAUGAAAUGGUGUUUUGGGGUAGUUUGUUAAGCAGCAAUAAAUAACCCGGACAGACCAUAAAGCAGAAGCUGUUUGCUGAGUAUGGUGCAACAGCUACACCAGCCCUGGUCUGGCCAGCUCCAGAUUUCGUAUUACCCAAGAAAAGGAAACCCUGUGUGUUUAAGCCUUGAUGAUGCCUCAGGCUACUGCUCACGGCCUCAGUUUCCCCAUAAUUGUUAAGUGGAGCAUUAGCUCCUGCCCUGUGACCUCCUAAAGGGCCUGAGAGGACAAAGGAAGAACCAGGAAGAGAAGGCAUUUUUCAUGUAAUAUAAACAUGCUUUAGACCAACGAGUGACACGCUCCGGCAGUCAGAGUAGAUUUGACGUAUUCGCGAUGGGUGUGAGCUUCUCCUGAGCCAAUUGCAAUGGAUUUUGGAGUCAGACGUAUCAGGGCUGGAGGCUCAGCUCUGCUACUUUCUAACGUGAUGAAUUGGGCCAGUCACGAAAUCUCUCCAAGCCUUAGUUUCCUCAUCAAUAAAACGCAGACGAUGCUAUUUCCCUUGUACAAUCUGUGUGAGGAUUAAGUUAAAUGAGAUUAAUCCAUCUCUUUGAUAAAUAGUGAGUAUCUUUGGUGUGCUAGGCUAGACCCACUCCUGAUACUGCUGGAGGCUGGGCCCCACUCACCCUCAAAAUCUAAGUAUGUAAACGUUAUAUAUCAAGGUGAUACACUGUUUUAAAAAUGCCCUAUCCUUCCCCUCCAUGAAUAUAACUUCAUAACGACCUGGAAGGCCGCGUUCAACUUGGAAAUCGGAUGCUCGUCAGACAUCUGCACUGAAACGCAGAGGGCAGGGGGGAGCUGGCCCCAUCCCCUGGCCCUCCAGCCUGCUCCCCUCCCUUCUCAUGCCAUCUCCGCCUCACACUGUGCAGACCUCACAUGCAGGUGUGUAGACACCCCAGGCUGCCGGUCCAUGCUCCCUUCCCCGCCCCAUGCUCCGCACUGCCCUUUGGCUAAACCCUGGGCCUAGUGUUCUGCCUCCAGAGAACAAACUGGAAAGAGGCCUGCACAGGGCCAGGGUCCAUUGGGACCUGGGGGCAGGGAUCUCAGGGAUCCUGGGAGACGGGAGUAUGUCUAGAAAGGGGGCACAGGCUUGGGUGGGUAUGUUACCUCGGCCCUGAAAUGUACAGCUGGAGGAGGGCCAGAGGGAGGCCCUUUAAAACACGAGGACCAGAGUAGGGCCCCCCUUGCCUGGGUUUGAGUGGGGCGUACAUCAGUGAAUGAAGCAGACGCCAUCCCUGACCCCUGAAACGCGGGGACCCAUUCCUUCCGUCUGAGCCUCAGUCUCACCCCUGUCUGUAAGAUGAGGGCUGAGCUGAUCUGACAUCUCCAAGUUUGUGCUGGGUACCAAGGUCUGGGGACUUGGUGAAUGUCGGCCUGAAUCUCCUAGAGGCCAGGAGAUCAGGUGGGAGGGGGCGUGUUUCAGACCUGAGUGAUCCACUUCCUCCUCCAACCCACGCCUGGCAGAGCAGGAAGGGCCUCCGCCAUCUAGUCCAACCUGUUCACCCACGCAACACCUUCUGUGGCCAUUACAGCACCAUGACUUCUCAUCACACCUGGAAUAAAAUCCCAGCUCCUUUCCAACGCCUGCCAAGCCCGUUCCACCGGCCUCUGGCCAUCUGCCAUCUCCUUUCCCACUGCCUGCUGUUGCUCACUCAGCUCCAGCCCCCUUGCCCUUCCUUAUGUUUAUGAAAAACAGAGUCUAUUCCUUUCACCUCACCCCAGGGCCCUUGCCCCUACUGUCCCUCUGCCUGGAGCUCUCAGCUCUUUGCAUGGCUGGAUCCUCUCCUCAUUCGGGCCUCAGCUUAGAGGGCCCCGUGACAUAGAGAUGCUCCCUGACACCCUUUUGAAAACAGCUGUCCUCUAGCCCCACUGCUCUCUUUACAAUGUCACCAUUUUACCUCCUUCCUAGCACAGCCGAAAGUGGUAGAAUGGAGUGACUGAGAGGCCAACUGUCUGGCUGGCCCCUUGGCCCAGUGUUUCGCCCAUUCGAAUCCUGGGUUUCAAGCUAUGCACAGCUCAUCAGGCCAUGCUGAGGCAGGUGGUGUCCCACACAGUAGAGCCAGAAGGACCUACAACUAGAAUAUACAACUAUGUACUGGGGGGCCUUGGGGAGAAGAAGAAAUAAAAGAAGAUUGGCAACAGAUGUUAGCUCAGGACCAAUCUGAAAGAAAAAAAUAAAGAGGCCAACUGUUUGAGUCCAAAUUUGGUCUCCACCAUCUACUGGACGCUUGAGUAAAUUGUUCAACCUGUAUUUCCCUGAAUAUAUUAUUCAACUUCUCAUUUUCCUUGAAUUGAUGAUUCAACCUCCAUUUUCCCUUUUGUGAAGGGGGUGAUAAUUUAUCUAUCUCGUAGGUUUGUUGUGAGAUUAGAGGAGCUAACACACAUAUUUAUAGCAUUUAGAACAGAGCCUGGCACAAGCAGUAUAUUUCUGCUUGCUAUUAUAUUAACACUUGUUGUUAUUUGAAAUUAUCUUGUCUAUUUCCUUACUGUUUAUUGUCUUCCUUCUCUCUCUCAAAUGCAAACUUCCCACAGCGGUCUCCUUGCCUGCCCUGCUCCCCGCUGCCUCCCACAGUGCUUGGAUAAACGAAUUCCAACAAGGACCUAGCACUGCGCUGAGCUCUUAUAUACAACACCUCCCUGUGCAGAUGGGGAAACUGAGGCAGGGGUGGAGUGGCCAGGAGCGAGGGCCUUCAGGGACCAGCCCCGCCCCGCGGCGCAGGGCGCUCUCCCAGGCGGGCUCAGAGACGCGAUCGGAGCGCCGCUCCCGCCGGUUUCCGCGGCGCCGGCGUUUUUGUCCCCAGCGCAUUCGUCUUUCAAGGCCCCACAGAAGCGGCGGUGGAAAAGCGGCCCGCAGUCCGCGUCAGCUGCGGUUCCGUCCUGUCGGUCCCCAAUGCGCGAACAAAGGCAUUUGCAUGAAAACAGGAACUCCGUCUGCUGGAAGGACCCGUUUGGGGGUGCAGCCAUGCGCUCCCGCGCCCCGCAGCUGUGCGCCGCUCCUCGGGCAGGGAAGGGAGCGGGGUGGGGGAUCGGCCGGUGGGGCGGGGGCGCUGCCCACCGAGCCUGCAGACCGCCCCCUCCCUGGCCGGCAGAAACGGCCGUCUGGGCCGCGCGCGCUUCUGCCGACUCCUCUGGACUGUUUACGGAAGCGCGGGAGCAGGGCGCAGCCACCCGGGCACCCCGGCCUCGGACACCCGCCGCGCGGCGCGGGAGGAGCCGGGCAGCGGCGGCUCCAGGCCCCGGGUCCCAGCCCGCUCCUCACCUGUCCGACCCGGGCGCAAGAAUGUCACAAGGCCAUCUCCAGGGGGAAGCAGCUUCCUUGAGGGGUGCGCGCCUGGCACGCAGAAAGGGCUCCGUUGCCCCUUUCCAACGCUUUUCUCAGCCAUCUCUCUUGAAAUCCCCCCCGC
Molecule: long non-coding RNA, 4738 nt
Organism: Equus caballus (horse)
Lineage: Eukaryota; Metazoa; Chordata; Mammalia; Perissodactyla; Equidae
Source: Ensembl